UACAGAGGUGGCAAGCGUUGUUCGGAAUUACUGGGCGUAAAGGGCGCGUAGGCGGCCAUCUAAGUCAGACGUGAAAUCCCCCGGCUUAACCUGGGAACUGCGUCUGAUACUGGACGGCUUGAGUGCGGGAGAGGGAUGUGGAAUUCCAGGUGUAGCGGUGAAAUGCGCAGAUAUCAGGAAGAACACCCGUGGCUAAGGCGGCUCUCUAGUACGGUACUGACGCUGAGACGCGAAAGCGUGGGGAGCGAACAGG
Molecule: ribosomal RNA, 253 nt
Filed under: uncultured bacterium
Lineage: Bacteria
Description: partial 16S ribosomal RNA
Rfam family: Bacterial small subunit ribosomal RNA
Source: RNAcentral